CCCUUAGAUGUUCUGGGCCGCACGCGUGCUACACUGAGUGGAUCAGCGGGUCAGGUUACGCGAGAGCGUUUCCUAAUCUUCAAAUCCGCUCGUGAUGGGGAUUGACGGUUGCAAUUUUCCGUCAUGAACGAGGAAUACCUUGUAAGCGCGGGUCAUCAUCCCGCGCUGAAUACGUCCCUGCCCUUUGUACACACCGCCCGUCGCUCCUACCGAUUGAGUGGCCCGGUGAGGCUUUGGGAUCUAAGCGAAAAGAGCGUUUCGCUCCUUUUGCUGGGAGAACUCAGUCGAACCUUAUCAUUUAGAGGAAGGAGAAGUCGUAACA
Molecule: ribosomal RNA, 322 nt
Filed under: uncultured eukaryote
Lineage: Eukaryota
Description: partial 18S ribosomal RNA
Rfam family: Eukaryotic small subunit ribosomal RNA
Source: RNAcentral